Molecule: ribosomal RNA, 468 nt
Filed under: uncultured bacterium
Lineage: Bacteria
Description: partial 16S ribosomal RNA
Rfam family: Bacterial small subunit ribosomal RNA
Source: RNAcentral
GACGAACGCUGGCGGCGUGCUUAACACAUGCAAGUCGAACGGAAAGGCCCUGCUUUUGUGGGGUGCUCGAGUGGCGAACGGGUGAGUAACACGUGAGUAACCUGCCCUUGACUUUGGGAUAACUUCAGGAAACUGGGGCUAAUACCGGAUAGGAGCUCCUGCUGCAUGGUGGGGGUUGGAAAGUUUCGGCGGUUGGGGAUGGACUCGCGGCUUAUCAGCUUGUUGGUGGGGUAGUGGCUUACCAAGGCUUUGACGGGUAGCCGGCCUGAGAGGGUGACCGGCCAAAUUGGGACUGAGAUACGGCCCAGACUCCUACGGGAGGCAGCAGUGGGGAAUAUUGCACAAUGGGAGGAAGCCUGAUGCAGCAACGCCGCGUGCGGGAUGACGGCCUUCGGGUUGUAAACCGCUUUCGCCUGUGACGAAGCGUGAGUGACGGUAAUGGGUAAAGAAGCACCGGCUAACUACGUG